This 631-nucleotide ribosomal RNA is filed under the name uncultured bacterium. RNAcentral's name for it is "bacterial SSU rRNA". It matches the Rfam family "Bacterial small subunit ribosomal RNA", at positions 160 to 775 of the family's 1533-position model. The record is from RNAcentral.
GGGCUAAUACCGGAUAACAUUUUGAACCGCAUGGUUCGAAAUUGAAAGGCGGCUUCGGCUGUCACUUAUGGAUGGACCCGCGUCGCAUUAGCCAGUUGGUGAGGUAACGGCUCACCAAGGCAACGAUGCGUAGCCGACCUGAGAGGGUGAUCGGCCACACUGGGACUGAGACACGGCCCAGACUCCUACGGGAGGCAGCAGUAGGGAAUCUUCCGCAAUGGACGAAAGUCUGACGGAGCAACGCCGCGUGAGUGAUGAAGGCUUUCGGGUCGUAAAACUCUGUCGUUAGGGAAGAACAAGUGCUAGUUGAAUAAGCUGGCACCUUGACGGUACCUAACCAGAAAGCCACGGCUAACUACGUGCCAGCAGCCGCGGUAAUACGUAAGUGGCAAGCGUUAUCCGGAAUUAUUGGGCGUAAAGCGCGCGCAGGUGGUUUCUUAAGUCUGAUGUGAAAGCCCACGGCUCAACCGUGGAGGGUCAUUGGAAACUGGGAGACUUGAGUGCAGAAGAGGAAAGUGGAAUUCCAUGUGUAGCGGUGAAAUGCGUAGAGAUAUGGAGGAACACCAGUGGCGAAGGCGACUUUCUGGUCUGUAACUGACACUGAGGCGCGAAAGCGUGGGGGAGCAAACAA